This 74-nucleotide transfer RNA is filed under the name Stieleria magnilauensis. RNAcentral describes it as "Planctomycetes bacterium TBK1r tRNA-Gly". It matches the Rfam family "tRNA". Rfam says of the family: Transfer RNA (tRNA) molecules are approximately 80 nucleotides in length. Lineage: Bacteria; Pseudomonadati; Planctomycetota; Planctomycetia; Pirellulales; Pirellulaceae. The record is from RNAcentral.
GCGGGUGUAACUCAGUUGGUAGAGUGACAGCUUCCCAAGCUGUUUGUCGCCGGUUCGAAUCCGGUCACCCGCUC